GUUUUUAUGGUGUAAAUAACACAUAACUUUUUCAAAGUUAAACUAACUAAUCUUUAAAAACA
RNAcentral lists this transfer RNA (62 nucleotides) under Pseudoniphargus portosancti. Its description in RNAcentral is "tRNA-Glu". The record is from RNAcentral. Lineage: Eukaryota; Metazoa; Arthropoda; Malacostraca; Amphipoda; Allocrangonyctidae.